AAGGCUUUAGCUUAAUUAAAGUGUCUGUUUUGCACGCAGAAGAUGGGGGAUAAAGUCCCGCAAGUCUUA
This 69-nucleotide transfer RNA is filed under the name Neocyttus rhomboidalis (spiky oreo). RNAcentral's name for it is "tRNA-Ala". It matches the Rfam family "tRNA". Rfam says of the family: Transfer RNA (tRNA) molecules are approximately 80 nucleotides in length. Their secondary structure includes four short double-helical elements and three loops (D, anti-codon, and T loops). The record is from RNAcentral. Lineage: Eukaryota; Metazoa; Chordata; Actinopteri; Zeiformes; Oreosomatidae.